AAUCCAUAGGUUAAUGAGGCGAACCGGGGGAACUGAAACAUCUAAGUACCCCGAGGAAAAGAAAUCAACCGAGAUUCCCCCAGUAGCGGCGAGCGAACGGGGAGGAGCCCAGAGCCUGAAUCAGCAUGUGUGUUAGUGGAAGCGUCUGGAAAGGCGCGCGAUACAGGGUGACAGCCCCGUACACAAAAGCGCAUGUGCUGUGAGCUCGAUGAGUAGGGCGGGACACGUGGUAUCCUGUCUGAAUAUGGGGGGACCAUCCUCCAAGGCUAAAUACUCCUGACUGACCGAUAGUGAACCAGUACCGUGAGGGAAAGGCGAAAAGAACCCCGGCGAGGGGAGUGAAAAAGAACCUGAAACCGUGUACGUACAAGCAGUGGGAGCCCCACCACUAAGCCAGUGGUGAACUCCACAUACGCAUCCUUUGCUGAGGAUACGGUUAACGGAGCGAAAGCGACGUUCAACCUCAAAAGAAGCAGAGGGGGCUUAGUGGUGGGGUGACUGCGUACCUUUUGUAUAAUGGGUCAGCGACUUAUAUUCUGUAGCAAGGUUAACCGAAUAGGGGAGCCGGAGGGAAACCGAGUCUUAAUUGGGCGUUAAGUUGCAGGGUAUAGACCCGAAACCCGGUGAUCUAGCCAUGGGCAGGUUGAAGGUUGGGUAACACUAACUGGAGGACCGAACCGACUAAUGUUGAAAAAUUAGCGGAUGACCUGUGGCUGGGGGUGAAAGGCCAAUCAAACCGGGAGAUAGCUGGUUCUCCCCGAAAGCUAUUUAGGUAGCGCCUCGUGAAUUCAUCUCCGGGGGUAGAGCACUGUUUCGGCUAGGGGGCCAUCCCGGCUUACCAACCCGAUGCAAACUGCGAAUACCGGAGAAUGUUAUCACGGGAGACACACGGCGGGUGCUAACGUCCGUCGUGAAGAGGGAAACAACCCAGACCGCCAGCUAAGGUCCCAGAGUCAUGGUUAAGUGGGAAACGAUGUGGGAAGGCCCAGACAGCCAGGAUGUUGGCUUAGAAGCAGCCAUCAUUUAAAGAAAGCGUAAUAGCUCACUGGUCGAGUCGGCCUGCGCGGAAGAUGUAACGGGGCUAAACCAUGCACCGAAGCUGCGGCAGCGACACUGUGUGUUGUUGGGUAGGGGAGCGUUCUGUAAGCC
This 1149-nucleotide ribosomal RNA is filed under the name Salmonella enterica. RNAcentral describes it as "partial 23S ribosomal RNA". It matches the Rfam family "Bacterial large subunit ribosomal RNA", at positions 161 to 1249 of the family's 2925-position model. The record is from RNAcentral. Lineage: Bacteria; Pseudomonadati; Pseudomonadota; Gammaproteobacteria; Enterobacterales; Enterobacteriaceae.